UACGGAGGGGGCAAGCGUUAUUCGGAAUCAUUGGGCGUAAAGGGCGCGUAGGCGGCUUGGCAAGUCAAAGGUGAAAUCCCUCGGCCCAACCGAGGAACUGCCUUUGAUACUGCUUGGCUCGAGGCCGGGAGAGGGUAGCGGAAUUCCCAGUGUAGCGGUGAAAUGCGUAGAUAUUGGGAGGAACACCAGUGGCGAAGGCGGCUACCUGGACCGGUUCUGACGCUGAUGCGCGAAAGCGUGGGGAGCAAACGGG
RNAcentral lists this ribosomal RNA (253 nucleotides) under uncultured bacterium. Its description in RNAcentral is "partial 16S ribosomal RNA". It matches the Rfam family "Bacterial small subunit ribosomal RNA", at positions 524 to 776 of the family's 1533-position model. The record is from RNAcentral.